CGGAUAGACUUGCAUUGGGACGAGUACGAUGUUACUGCAAGUUUCAUAAAGUGAGGCGUUUUAUCUGUGUAUAGUGAUGAUGAAUGAUAAAUCGCCUCGGUUUACCGCCACUCCGGGAACAUCGCGUCGCUUACAAUUGUUAUAAGAGUGGCCUAUUAAUUUCUCUAUUAUUUAUGGGGCCAUAACGCCGCGGUGUAGACGUAGAGUACAGCCGGCGUGCGGUCAUUGUCGCGACAACCGAGAGCGAUAAUGACGAGAUAACCGAACAGGUAAUGUGGGUUACCUAAACUAACCUAACUAGCGAAAACAUCCUUACGCAGA
Non-coding RNA from Cinara cedri, 321 nucleotides. Lineage: Eukaryota; Metazoa; Arthropoda; Insecta; Hemiptera; Aphididae. The record is from the annotation of a GenBank genome assembly.